This 427-nucleotide ribosomal RNA is filed under the name uncultured bacterium. RNAcentral's name for it is "partial 16S ribosomal RNA". It matches the Rfam family "Bacterial small subunit ribosomal RNA", at positions 355 to 774 of the family's 1533-position model. The record is from RNAcentral.
UGGGGAAUAUUGCACAAUGGGCGCAAGCCUGAUGCAGCCAUGCCGCGUGUAUGAAGAAGGCCUUCGGGUUGUAAAGUACUUUCAGCGGGGAGGAAGGCGUUGUGGUUAAUAACCACAGCGAUUGACGUUACCCGCAGAAGAAGCACCGGCUAACUCCGUGCCAGCAGCCGCGGUAAUACGGAGGGUGCAAGCGUUAAUCGGAAUUACUGGGCGUAAAGCGCACGCAGGCGGUUUGUUAAGUCAGAUGUGAAAUCCCCGGGCUCAACCUGGGAACUGCAUUUGAAACUGGCAGGCUUGAGUCUCGUAGAGGGGGGUAGAAUUCCAGGUGUAGCGGUGAAAUGCGUAGAGAUCUGGAGGAAUACCGGUGGCGAAGGCGGCCCCCUGGACGAAGACUGACGCUCAGGUGCGAAAGCGUGGGGAGCAAACA